UUUAUCAUACACAGUUUAUUCUUUGUUGUGAGUUUUGUCAUGCAUGUGGUGAUCUUCUAGAACUUGCCAUGGUUUCUGUGUUGAGGUUGCUGUUGUGCCCAGGAUUAGGAGAUGAUUUUAGGCUAUCUUUUGUUAGCCACAUUAUUUUCCCAAACACUGUCCUUGAAAAAAUUAUCCUUUGUUAUCCACUUUGAGCCUAAUUAGCUUUUAUUCUUUAGCCGGAUGAUAGGGGGUGAUGUAGUAUAUGGGGAUCCUUAUGUGGUGAAUAUCAUAGUGGUUCAUGAAAAAGAAGGGAUGAUAUUGUGAUACUAUUUACUCUUAUAAGCUCUAGAAAAGUUGUGGAAAGAAAAGAAAAAAAAAAGAAAGAAAAAAAGAAAAAGAAAAAGAAAAAAAAGUGAAGUCGAGUGUAUAUUGAGAUAUUUGUUUGAAAAUCGACUUUAUGUGUUGGAAAUAAAUGGAGAGCAUAAAAGAGUGUUUAGUUCUGUUUUGUGAUGAUUAAAUCCCUUGAGUUUUGUUGAUUAUGGUGAUAUAGUUGGGUGGAAGAUGGAAUUUAUUCCAUACUUGAUUUGUGAAGCUAUAAGGUUGGUGUUAUUAAAUUAUUUUAAGUCACUUAACCUAUAUUUCCCUACCUUAACCAAUGUCCCUACAUUAUAACCCG
This 658-nucleotide long non-coding RNA is filed under the name Salvia miltiorrhiza (redroot sage). Its description in RNAcentral is "long non-coding RNA (SMIL_LNC001881)". The record is from RNAcentral. Lineage: Eukaryota; Viridiplantae; Streptophyta; Magnoliopsida; Lamiales; Lamiaceae.